UGGGGAAUAUUGGACAAUGGGCGCAAGCCUGAUCCAGCAAUGCCGCGUGAGUGAUGAAGGCCCUAGGGUUGUAAAGCUCUUUUACCCGGGAUGAUAAUGACAGUACCGGGAGAAUAAGCUCCGGCUAACUCCGUGCCAGCAGCCGCGGUAAUACGGAGGGAGCUAGCGUUGUUCGGAAUUACUGGGCGUAAAGCGCGCGUAGGCGGCUUUGUAAGUUAGAGGUGAAAGCCCGGAGCUCAACUCCGGAAUUGCCUUUAAGACUGCAUCGCUAGAAUCCGGGAGAGGUGAGUGGAAUUCCGAGUGUAGAGGUGAAAUUCGUAGAUAUUCGGAAGAACACCAGUGGCGAAGGCGGCUCACUGGACCGGUAUUGACGCUGAGGUGCGAAAGCGUGGGGAGCAAACAGGAUUAGAUACCCCCGUAGUCC
This 424-nucleotide ribosomal RNA is filed under the name uncultured prokaryote. RNAcentral's name for it is "bacterial SSU rRNA". It matches the Rfam family "Bacterial small subunit ribosomal RNA", at positions 355 to 796 of the family's 1533-position model. The record is from RNAcentral.